RNAcentral lists this ribosomal RNA (1621 nucleotides) under Entamoeba dispar SAW760. Its description in RNAcentral is "eukaryotic LSU rRNA". It matches the Rfam family "Eukaryotic large subunit ribosomal RNA", at positions 1203 to 2800 of the family's 3401-position model. The record is from RNAcentral. Lineage: Eukaryota; Evosea; Mastigamoebida; Endamoebidae.
AACGAGUACCACAAAAGGUAUUCAUUCAUAUUGACAAUAGGACGGUGGCCAUGGAAGUCGGAAACCGCUAAGGAAUGUGUAACAACUCACCUAUCGAAUGAAUGAGUCCUGAAAAUGGAUGGCAUUAUAAUUUCUUAACUGAUACUCGACCGUUAAAAUGAAGACAUUUUAACGAGUAAGGAAACGAAAUGGCGUAAGGACAACAAAAGUAGUAAAGAUUUAAAGUAAUUUAGAUUGAAACUGUCCUUAGUGCAGAUCUUGGUGGUAGUAGCAAAUACUAAGAAGAGGAAAAAAACAUCUUAGAACUGAAGAGGAGAAAGGUUCCUAAACAACAUUACUUGGAUUAGGGUGAAUCGAUCCUAAAUUACAGAUGGAAAUCCUUAAGAAAUAUAUAAGUGACAUAUAGUCAAUAUAAGGAUUGAAAGGGAAUAAGAUUAAUAGUUCUUAAUCAAGAGAAUUAAUGAUUAAAUCUUAGAAAUAAGAUUAAAUCGAAUAAAAUGGUAACAUAUCAUGAACUUUAAAAUGGAGUGUGAAAAUCUACGGAAGAGUUCUCUUUUCUUCUUAACAAAAGUAAAUUCCACUGAAAUGAAUCAAUCAGAGAAGUGGAAUUUAUUGGCUUUGUAAGAAAUUCAACAUAUGAUUGAAUUGUGGUAUUUUUGCAGUCUUCAUAAAAAUUAAAGGGAAUCUUAGCAUAAAGCUAAUUAAAGAAUUCUUUUGCUCGUACUAAUAACCGCAACAGGUCUCCAAGAAGCAAAAUCUUUAGUUAAAUAGAAUAACGCAGGUAAGGGAAGUCGGCAACAUAGCUCUGUAAGUUAGCAAGAAAGAGUAGCUCUGGUGAUUUCCUUGUAAAAGGAUUAAAAUCGAAUCAGAACUUUAAAGGUUAGGGGAAUCCGACUGUUUAAUAAAAACAUAGCAUUCUGAUAAAUCUAAAAGGUUCAUUACAGAAUGUGAUUUCUGCCCAGUGCUCUGAAUGUCAAGGUAAUGAAAUUUACUUAAGCGCGGGUUAACGGCGGGAGUAACUAUGACUCUCUUAAGGUAGCCAAAUGCCUCGUCAUCUAAUUAGUGACGCGCAUGAAUGGAUCACCGUGAUUCCCACUGUCCCUAUCUGCAAUCUAGUGAAACCACAGUCAAGGGAACGGGCUUGAUUGGAACGGCGGGGAAAGAAGACCCUGUUGAGCUUGACUCUAAUUUAUCAUGUGAAAUCGAUUUUUUGGUAUAGGCUAGGUGGGAGACUUUGUCAAACGUGUAAUACCACCACUAGAAAUACUAUUUCACUCAUUUCGUUAAAUGUUAAAAUGGAUUUUCCAUUAAUUUAAAAACAUUAAAACUUCGGUUGAAACAGGCGAUUGAAAAAGAUAGACGGGGAGUUUGGCUGGGGCGGCACAUCUGUUACAAGAUAACGCAGGUGUCCAAAGAUGAACUCAAUGAGGACAGAAACCUCAUGUAGAAUAUAAGGGUAUAAGUUCAUUUGAUUAUUGAUUCCAGUACAAUCAAUAACUCUGAAAUGAUGGCCUAACGAUCCCUAAGAUUUUUAACUAGAAAAAAUUUAAAACAUAUUAGAUUUAUCUGAUGUGUGAGACCGUAAGGUGAUUUCUAGUUAAUCCUUUAAUAAUAAGGCUGG